Molecule: long non-coding RNA, 1104 nt
Organism: Cyprinus carpio carpio
Lineage: Eukaryota; Metazoa; Chordata; Actinopteri; Cypriniformes; Cyprinidae
Source: Ensembl
CAGGAAGUGACAUCAUUGAAACUCAUUCAAAAUGGAGGGAAAACAACUCACCUUGGCUGUGGGAACGUCACCUGUGGGCUGAAAUAUCACCGUCCCUCCUCCAUCUGCUCCACGUGCUGGAGGAGCGAUCGAUGCAGCUGAUGGAUGAGGACAGCCGCUGGAGAAUAAACUACAGGGGGAUUUGAGCGGAGAGAUGAGAUUCACACGGCCUUCUGUCUCUGGAGCAUCAUCUGCCCUCAGCCGGACGUCUGGACCCUGUUACUGACCCUCAUCAUUAACACUGAUGUGUGGAGGACACGCUGACCUUCAGCUGUUUUCCAUCUCACAGGAGCAUACCGGCAGUCAGGAGGGAGAGAAAUCACAGGCCGUGUGAUGGGCUCCACUUUUAAAGCUUUACAAGAUGUUCACACGUGCACCAGGACAAAACCAGGAGAUCUCUGCAUGCACGAGGACGAUAAGUGGGACUGGCAGGCCUGGUCAACACCAGAGGGCUUGAGUUGACUCUUGGCUCUUGUGAAUCGUGAGUCGUUGAAGCGUUGCUGCAUUAAUCAUUUUUGCAUGAAGUGAUAAUGAAUCUAUCGCUCACGGGAAGAUGCUUUUAAACAUAGAGGGCUGCCAUAAAUGAAACACGCAAUAUACACAAUCCAGAGCAACAUUUAGGUUGUAGGCCUUCUACUGUGUCCACGAAUUUGCUCAAAAUUACACUUAACGCUAAUCUUUUAAAUGAUCACCUUUAUCAUAUUUAUAGAAUGAAUAAAUCAACUUUUGCUCCAGUCAGAUAUGUAACUUCCUGACGGUUUAUAGGUGAAUCUCACAAAAAGGUGCCAUGGUUAUAUCUCAGCCCUAAAAUCAAAAGACAAAAAAAGUUAUAUUUUGCAGAAAUAAGUUAUAGAGCCUUUUUCCUAGAACUAUUAACAUUUUUAUAGGUUAUAUUCUGCCCACAAAUGAGUACAAAAUUAAAUGUUCAAUUCAUAUAUAAUAAAUUUACUUGAUAAAAUAUAAACAAACCAGUCUGAUUUUUGAUCUUUUAAAAUAUUUACUUUUUCAUAUUAAUAAAACCAGCCUUUUUGCACCAGUCUGGUUUCUAGGUAAAUUUCACCCCAG